Long non-coding RNA from Cyprinus carpio (common carp), 1330 nucleotides. Lineage: Eukaryota; Metazoa; Chordata; Actinopteri; Cypriniformes; Cyprinidae. The record is from Ensembl.
CAAGCCUUUAUGAAUUGAGACACUGACUUCUUCAUUGAUUUUUUUUUUUUCAAAUUAAUAUAUUUUUUAAAAGAUUUAAGCAAUGAAAAUUUUGUCAGAACCUCUAGUAAAUUCCGUUAUUUUGUUUAGUUUUCUAACCUUUUUUUUUCUCUCUCCAACAACAACAACAACAAAAAAAUUGUGAUUCUCAAUUUAUCCAGAAUCGUGCAGGUCUAGCUUACAUGUUGUUUAUUACUGCAUAUAAUUCAUUAAAACAGAGGUUUAAUUUCAUAAAGUACAAGUUGAUGUAUAAAAUGCACCUACAUCCUUUGCAUUUUGUGUUUUUCAGUUAAAUAAAAUACUAUUUUUCCCUAUAUAUUUCAUCACUGAGGAUUUCUUUAAAAAGUCAAAAAAUCUCAUCUCAUCUCGUCUUGUCUCGUUCUCGUGAACCUAGUGUAACGGGGGUAUUAAGCCCGUCGUGUAGGGGAAAUGGAUUACGGCUGCCCUGGAAGUUUGGACAACGAAAGGAUCUUGGUCCCCAUUCCCCAACCUUUUAGUCUCGUUACACACUAACGCGUGUAUGUGGUUUCUUACUUUAUUGUGUCGGAACACUACUGAUUGACAAGGGUAGGCUUCAGGUAUGUUAAUGUUACACGUUGGCUUCCUGAAGUGAAAUUGCAUACAUGAGAGUACAGUGUCGUAUGCUCCUCCCUCCCCAGAUCUAAUAAAAUAAGUGAGACUCCCCCACUCCCUGACAGCUCUCAACAGAAAGAUACACUGUAGAUAAGUGUAAAAAGGAAUUAAACUAUUUAUUCUUUCAGAUUUCUUUCUCUUAUGAAUUAUUUUUUCUAUUUAAGAAAUCAAUUAACUGAAAAUAAUACAAAGAGUUUACAGUAAUUGUGCUGUCUUUACAAAUGCACACAAUCACCUUCAACACAUCAAUUGAAAAAAAACCUUUCACUUGUGGAUUAACAAAUCUCUUAUGAAACUUCAAAAUGAGAUCACAUGCAAUUUUUCAAUUGGUAAGCCCACAAAAUCUCAAUCUCACCCUUUUUCAAAUGAUCACCUUCAAACAAUCACAUUUGAAAACAACAAAAUAAAAAUAAACAAUACACAAUUAAAUCUCACUUUAGAAUGAGCACUUAUAUGAAAUGUCCUUUCAAAGGUUUACUCACAGUAACUUAAUUUCCAUAGUCCACUUGAAUUAUCACAGUUCCCUGUUUAUCAGUUCAGUCACUGAGUAAAAAGGAAAAAAAAAAGGAAAAAUACCAGUUCGUAGAACGAUGAAUGAGAGUGCGUUGUCUGGACGUAGGGUGUGUUGAAAUAAACUGAAGAUCACAGUUUAAGUUCA